Long non-coding RNA from Triticum dicoccoides, 2918 nucleotides. RefSeq lists it as uncharacterized. NCBI's taxonomy places the organism in Eukaryota, Viridiplantae, Streptophyta, Magnoliopsida, Poales, Poaceae. The record is from RefSeq and is a predicted model, not a curated record. The transcript has 2 exons.
UCACAUUUAUCCCUUCACGAGUCAGCCACUCGUUUCUUCCUCCUCCGUCUUCCUUAUCUCUCUGCUCUAUCUCCUCGGCUCACGACCUCAGAGGCGAAGCACUUGUGCAUGCUGAAUCCCUUCCAUGCCGAGCCCUAGAUGACCACCUACAUGCAUCUAACCAACAGACCAUGGAUGAACCCCACACUCCUCGUCACCUACCUCCCGCUUCCUCUCCUAGCAGCCAUGGAAGAGCUCCAUCCCCACACUUUCAUGGUGCUGCGAGCUUGAGGGUUGCAACCCUUCGACGGCGAAGCCUGCAAAUGUGGACGAGAUGACCGGUGCUGGCAAGGCUGACGAGACUUUUUUGAUACAACCGGUGGGUUCGCCCGAGCCACGGUGAGUUGCACUGGUCGAUGGAAAAGCUGCAACCAGACGCAAGCCGGCGAGGCGAGAUGCUGGCGUGGGGGCAUGACACCCAGCUGCGGUGGCGGUUUCAGCGGACUACACAGCAGAGAUGAGUGCGGUGCUUUUUCUCCUGGGCGUUGACCAAGCAUUGGGGGAGAGACAGAAAAACGUUUCGCUAGGAAUGAACGACUGGCAUGUCUUUAAUCUAACGGCCCCGCGGUGACCGGCCCAAAGUUGGGCUGGGGUGCCGGCGCCUAUCAUUGCCCCUCGCGAAAAGGAAAAACAAUCAUCGAACAAUAAACAAGAUUUAGCAUACAAGACCGAGGUAAUUAAUUGCCAAUUGUCUUUUUUUUUAGAAAAUUAAUUGUCAAUUGUCAGAUGCGUUGCACAUGGCUGGGCCGGCCAGAUGGAUCCGCCCCCUGGCAGUAUUAAUUUCAAAAUUGGCAAAAAGCUAAAAUCCGAACGAACGGAUUUUUGCAACAGAUUUUCACGAUCCGGAUCUCGUCCAUUUUGAAUCGGACGAUGCUUAUUGAUCGUGCGGUUUUAACUCGAGCGAACACGAUUAUUCGUUGAUUUCCUUUCAUUUUUUCUCCACGAUCCCGUAGUUAAUGACAAUUGGAUUAUGCAAUCCUACCGCUUUAACUGUGAUCCUAAUUAUACACAUGUGAUUCUAAUUCUAUGCAUGAUUAUCCGUAUCGUAAUUAAUGGGUUGCCUUAAUUAUCUCGAUCCAUUUAGCAGCGUGUCCUAAUUUGAAACAUAAUUAGUGAGUCACCUCCUAAUUUUAUGCAUGAGUUGAUCGGUACCGCUUUAGCUGUGAUCCUAAUUAUAUGCACGUGAUUCCAAUUAUAUGCAUGAUUAUCCAUAUCGUAAUUAUUGGGUUGCCUUAAUUAUCUCGACCCAUUUAAUUGCGUCUCCUAAUUUGAAGGUAAACGUUUAGAGCCGAUGCACCGGCCGAACGCUCGGCCGGCCGCAUCUACACUGGACAAUGGGGCCACACACCACCGCUCUAGUAUUCUUCUUAUCUUCACGAGUCGUGCCUAUCCAUUCAUUCGUUGUUGCUUAUCUCCUCGCAUGUCUUGUUCCCCUGCGACAGCCUCCAGGAUAGUUCGCCGGUGAUGACCGCCAUCGAUCCCACACCAGCCUGCCCGUCGCCCAUCCAGCGGCAGCCUCCCGGCAAAUCGACGCUAUUUUAGGAGACCCCGACCGUGCGCGACAAGGGAGGAGUGGGAGGGAGGUCGUUGCCUGUGGCACCGAUGAGGUGCCGUGCUGGGGAACGGAAAGUGGAUUCGCCGGCCGGUGGAUUCGCUUCAACCGGCGACGGUGGUGGUGAGCGGCAACGGCGGUGGCCACCAUGGAUUUUAUUUUGCUGCGUCAAUUCUUUUUGCUGGAACCACUUCAUUUUUUUUGCUCGAACCUUCUUUCGAUUUUGCUACAAAUUGAGAGAGAUGAUGCUCUGUUGCUGCCAUGAUUUUUUGCAACCUCCUUUGUUUUUUGCUGGAACCACUUUUGUUUUUUGCUGGAACCAUCAUUCAACUUUGCUGCAUUGGGCGAAGAUGGUUGUUUGGCGGCGACGGUGGUGCUCGCCAUGAAUCUUUUGUUGGAACCUCUUCAGAAUUUUUGCUUGAACCGUUUUUCAAUUUUGCUGCAAUUCAAGACGAUGGUGGUGCCGUCGAUGUCAAGAUUUUUGCUACAUUUAAUUUUUGCUAGAACCUCUUCUCAUUUUUGCUACAACCGGCAAUCACAAAAGCUACAACCGGCGAUAAAUUUUGCUACAAUGGUGACAUGGUGAUCGAUGAGCCUUUUCUACUAGAACCAACACAAUUUUUUGCUACUACCUGCGGAGAUUUUUGUUGCCACCAGCAAACCCGAAGGAGAGUACUUUUUAGCCAGCUCGUCACCGGGGUGUUGCAACCGGCGACCGGCGUACGACCAUCCCACUGAUGUUGCCAUCGCCAGUGGGGAAGCUGCAACCGCGAGGGAAAGUUUGUUGCAUGUGUGGAUCUACGAGGAAGCCGUGAGACGAUAAUGGAGAGGCCGGCGACUAGCGGCGAGGGUGGCAAGCGGCAACCAUGGCGAGCCACCGACGGUGCAGGUUACGGAAGAGGCGCGGCGAGCCACGAGCAACGCGGAGUGUGGCAGACGACGACGGCAGCCGGAGUCAACGAUGCAUUUUUUCUCUGUUGUUUUCCUGACGAAGUGGGGUCAAAAAGUUACAGAUCAAACGGUUUAAGUCGGCUGAUCGUACGGCAUUGCUUCGACCGGCCCAAAUCCAGGCCAGUGCGCCGGCACCUAGUAGCACCCUAAUUUGAAACGUAAUUAGUUGGUCACCUCCUAAUUUUAUUCAUUAGUUGAUCAGUACUCUUCCCAUCCUAAUUUCCCAAGCAAAAAAUAGUGCACCAGAUGGGAUUCAAACUCUCAACCUAACACAACUAAGACCACUAAACAAACCACGCUAACCAACUAGCAAGGCAGCUACUUGUGUGUAUUGUAUUGCUUUUUAGCAUACACUUAUAGUUUGCUUUCGGUCUUU